UCCACGCCGUAAACGAUGUCUACUAGCCGUUGGGAGACUUGAUCUCUUAGUGGCGCAGUUAACGCGAUAAGUAGACCGCCUGGGGAGUACGGCCGCAAGGUUAAAACUCAAAUGAAUUGACGGGGGCCCGCACAAGCGGUGGAGCAUGUGGUUUAAUUCGACGCAACGCGAAGAACCUUACCAGGUCUUGACAUCCUAGAAACUUAGCAGAGAUGCUUUGGUGCCUUCGGGAA
RNAcentral lists this ribosomal RNA (233 nucleotides) under uncultured bacterium. RNAcentral describes it as "partial 16S ribosomal RNA". It matches the Rfam family "Bacterial small subunit ribosomal RNA", at positions 794 to 1026 of the family's 1533-position model. The record is from RNAcentral.